CUCUUUGAAGAGCUCUGUCUUCAGGAGUUUCUUAAAGAUAGUGAGAGAUUCUCCUGAUCUGGUAGUAGAAGGUAGUUAGUUAGAGGUGUUAGGAGAGUAAGUGCUCUUUGAAGAGCUCUGUCUUCAGGAGUUUAUUAAAGAUAGUGAGAGAUUCUCCUGAUCUGGUAGUGGAAGGUAGUUAGUUAGAGGUGUUAGGAGAGUAAGUGCUCUUUGAAGAGCUCUGUCUUCAGGAGUUUAUUAAAGAUAGUGAGAGAUUCUCCUGAUCUGGUAGUAGAAGGUAGUUAGUUAGAGGUGUUAGGAGAGUAGGUUCUCGUUGAAGAGCUCUGUCUUCAGGAGUUUAUUAAAGAUAGCGAGAGAUUCUCCUGAUCUGGUAGUAGAAGGUAGUUUGUUAGAGGUGUUAGGAGAGUAAGUGUUCUUUGAAGAGCUCUGUCUUCAGGAGUUUAUUAUUAAAGAUAGUGAGAGAUUCUCCUGAUCUGGUAGUAGAAGGUAGUUAGUUAGAGGUGUUAGGAGAGUAAGAGCUCUUUGAAGAGCUCUGACUUCGGGAGUUUGAUGCACUGUAUGAGAACAGUCUGAAUUGUGUGUGAAUGUUUCUGGAGGAAAUGUAAGCCUGUAGUCAUAAUGUGUUCUUUGGUAAUUGAGCAUAUUUGAGCUUGAUAACACACACAUCACAUUAUCGAAUGUCAUCUUGUACUGUGUGCCCUUUAAAUGGCUGCUAAUGUUGACUGUCCUCAUCAGUCAGAUGCAAUAAACUGAACACACAUUCACACUAUCACAGGGCUGAGACGUCUCUGUCACGCGGCUGCGGCAUGAGAGUUACCCGCAAUCUUUCCACAGCUUUAAACGGUUUAAUCCUAAAUUACAGAGCAAUAAAACACUGUAGGUGCGUCUGUGGAUGCAGCAUAAACACCAGAAAGCUUUAAUUAAAAGUUACGCAACUUUUAUAGUAGUUUGAAGUAAAGGUCUGCAUGAGACUCAGGUUUUAAAAACUCUUCCACCAACUCCUGCUCAAAAUUGACAGCAUUUGUCCCACGCCACAAAAUUCUGUCCCACAAGGUCCUGAAGGACUGUAGACCUCUUCUACUGUAAACUAAAUAGAUAUACAUAUAUCAUGUGUUCUGCAUAAAUGCAAAGAAAACUGCAGACAAAAAGAAGAUCUUAUGUGAUAGUUGGCAUGGGAGAUCUACUUUCUCAACAAGGAUAUAAGAAAAUAUUGAAAUAUUGCAAUAUAUAUGCAAAAAAAAAAACAUAUCGUAAUGUUUUGUUUUGCAAUGCUACAUUUUUUUUACUUUUAAUUUAUAUGCAAUUUUUUUUUAACCCCGCCCAUUAGAUUGAAGUGUUGCACACUGUCGUUAGACCCCACUGAUCUGAUUGGAUAAAGGGUAAAAGCUUUUUUUACUCAGAUUUUAUAAAUAUAAUGUUUUAUUUUGGUAAUAUUUUAUUGCAUUUAAAUUUUUGCAUUAUAUCUCCCUAAAUACAGUAUCGCAAUACAUUCUUAUCUAUUGAAUCUAGAGCUGAACAAUUAAUAGUUUUUUUU
Molecule: long non-coding RNA, 1534 nt
Organism: Astyanax mexicanus (Mexican tetra)
Lineage: Eukaryota; Metazoa; Chordata; Actinopteri; Characiformes; Acestrorhamphidae
Exons: 2
Source: RefSeq, a predicted model, not a curated record